GAGUUUUAUAUAUUUUAGAUUAAUUAAGAGUUAAGUUUUUUUUGAUUAGUUUAGUAUAUUUAGUUGGGAGAAUUAUUAGAUUAUAUUAAUUUUAAUUUUUAUAAAAUAUUAAUUUAUAGGUGAGAGAAUGGUAAUUUUAUGAUUAAAGAAUUAAUUACCUUAGGGAUAACAGCGUAAUAUUUUUGGAGAGUUCUUAUUGAUAAAAAUGAUUGC
This 213-nucleotide ribosomal RNA is filed under the name Hylomyrma immanis. RNAcentral's name for it is "partial large subunit ribosomal RNA". The record is from RNAcentral. Lineage: Eukaryota; Metazoa; Arthropoda; Insecta; Hymenoptera; Formicidae.